RNAcentral lists this ribosomal RNA (439 nucleotides) under uncultured bacterium. RNAcentral's name for it is "partial 16S ribosomal RNA". It matches the Rfam family "Bacterial small subunit ribosomal RNA", at positions 339 to 795 of the family's 1533-position model. The record is from RNAcentral.
CUACGGGUUGCAGCAGUGAGGAAUAUUGCACAAUGGGGGGAACCCUGAUGCAGCAACGCCGCGUGGAGGAUGACGCAUUUCGGUGUGUAAACUCCUUUUAUAUGUCAAGAAAAUGACGGUAGCAUAUGAAUAAGCACCGGCUAACUCCGUGCCAGCAGCCGCGGUAAUACGGAAGGUGCAAACGUUACUCGGAAUCACUGGGCGUAAAGGACGCGUAGGCGGGUUGGAAAGUCAGGUGUGAAAUCCUACAGCUUAACUGUAGAACUGCACUUGAAACUUCUAAUCUAGAGUAUGGGAGGGGGAGAUGGAAUUAGUGGUGUAGGGGUAAAAUCCGUAGAUAUCACUAGGAAUACCUAAAGCGAAGGCGAUCUCCUGGAACAUUACUGACGCUAAGGCGUGAAAGCGUGGGGAGCAAACAGGAUUAGAUACCCGCGUAGUC